GUGGUAAUUCUAGAGCUAAUACAUGCUAAAAACCUCGACUUCGGAAGGGGUGUAUUUAUUAGAUAAAAAACCAAUGCCCUUCGGGGCUCCUUGGUGAAUCAUAAUAACUUAACGAAUCGCAUGGCCUUGCGCCGGCGAUGGUUCAUUCAAAUUUCUGCCCUAUCAACUUUCGAUGGUAAGAUAGAGGCUUACCAUGGUCUUAACGGGUAACGGGGAAUUAGGGUUCUAUUCCGGAGAGGGAGCCUGAGAAACGGCUACCACAUCCAAGGAAGGCAGCAGGCGCGCAAAUUACCCAAUCCCGACACGGGGAGGUAGUGACAAUAAAUACUGAUACGGGGCUCUUUUGGGUCUCGUAAUUGGAAUGAGUACAAUCUAAAUCCCUUAACGAGGAACAAUUGGAGGGCAAGUCUGGUGCCAGCAGCCGCGGUAAUUCCAGCUCCAAUAGCGUAUAUUAAAGUUGUUGCCGUUAAAAAGCUCGUAGUUGAACCUUGGGCCUGGCUGACCUGUCCUCCUAAUCGAGCGCACGGGUUCGGUCGGGCCUUUCCUUCUAGGGAACCCCAUGCCCUUCACUGGGUGUGGCGGGGAACUAGGACUUUUACCUUGAAAAAAUUAGAGUGUUCAAAGCAGGCCUUUGCUCGAAUACAUUAGCAUGGAAUAAUAGAAUAGGACAUCGGUUCUAUUUUGUUGGUUUCUAG
This 695-nucleotide ribosomal RNA is filed under the name Chaetothyriales sp. Its description in RNAcentral is "SSU rRNA". It matches the Rfam family "Eukaryotic small subunit ribosomal RNA", at positions 149 to 854 of the family's 1831-position model. The record is from RNAcentral. Lineage: Eukaryota; Fungi; Ascomycota; Eurotiomycetes; Chaetothyriales.